UAAGGAAUAUUGGUCAAUGGACGCAAGUCUGAACCAGCCAUGCCGCGUGAAGGAUGAAGGUCCUCUGGAUUGUAAACUUCUUUUAUCUGGGACGAAAACGGGAUUUUUAUCUCAAUUGACGGUACCAGAGGAAUAAGCACCGGCUAACUCCGUGCCAGCAGCCGCGGUAAUACGGAGGGUGCGAGCGUUAUCCGGAUUUACUGGGUUUAACGGGUGAGUAGGUGGGCUUAUAAGUCAGUGGUGAAAUCUCCGAGCUUAACUUGGAAACUGCCGUUGAUACUAUAGGUCUUGAAUUAUCUGGAGGUAAGCGGAAUAUGUCAGGUAGCGGUGAAAUGCUUAGAUAUGACAUAGAACACCAAUUGCGAAGGCAGCUUACUACAUAUAAAUUGACGCUGAGGCACGAAAGCGUGGGGAUCAAACA
RNAcentral lists this ribosomal RNA (421 nucleotides) under uncultured bacterium. RNAcentral describes it as "bacterial SSU rRNA". It matches the Rfam family "Bacterial small subunit ribosomal RNA", at positions 355 to 774 of the family's 1533-position model. The record is from RNAcentral.